UCUCCCGCCCUCCUGGGCAGCGCGGCUCCGGGCGCAUUCCUGCACCCUCCUCCCGCGCGCCGCGCUCCCUCCCCCGGACAGCUGAUUCAUUGGCUCGGCCGCCCAGACUGCCUGGCGCCGGCUGCGUGACGUCACCCAUUCACGGAGCCCGCCUCCCCCCUCCGCUGGCGCCGGCCGGGCGGUCGCCCUGACAACGCAGACGCCAGCCCGCACAAUGACUUCCAGCUGGAGCAGCCCAGCCAGCCUGCGCGCUCACUCGCUUGCUUUCGCCGGGCUUCAAAGCACCGGGAUUUUUUGCUUCAAAACAGCUGCAUUUUUGGAAGAAAGUCCACAACUGACAACUAAGCAAAACCCUCCUGGUGGAUAGCAUAAAUCUGCUUUGUUGAAGCUGCUCAUCUGUCUGAUCUGUGAGUCCAGAAGUUGCAAACUCCCUUCCCAGCUUAUGCAAAAAUACUUCCAGUAAAAACAAGCCCUUUGGCCCUUUUCUGCUGUCAGUCCACA
Symphalangus syndactylus (siamang) is the source of this 501-nucleotide long non-coding RNA. RefSeq lists it as uncharacterized. The record is from RefSeq and is a predicted model, not a curated record. NCBI's taxonomy places the organism in Eukaryota, Metazoa, Chordata, Mammalia, Primates, Hylobatidae.